GUAGGUGGCAAGCGUUGUCCGGAAUUAUUGGGCGUAAAGCGCGCGCAGGCGGUUCUUUAAGUCUGAUGUGAAAGCCCACGGGCUCAACCGUGGAGGGUCAUUGGAAACUGGAGAACUUGAGUACAGAAGAGGAAAGCGGAAUUCCACGUGUAGCGGUGAAAUGCGUAGAGAUGUGAAGGAACACCAGUGGCGAAGGCGGCUUUCUGGUCUGUAACUGACGCUGAGGCGCGAAAGCGUGGGGAGCAAACAGGAUUAGAUACCCUGGUAGUCCACGCCGUAAACGAUGAGUGCUAAGUGUUAGGGGGUUUCCGCCCCUUAGUGCUGCAGCUAACGCAUUAAGCACUCCGCCUGGGGAGUACGGCCGCAAAGGCUG
Molecule: ribosomal RNA, 373 nt
Filed under: uncultured organism
Description: partial 16S ribosomal RNA
Rfam family: Bacterial small subunit ribosomal RNA
Source: RNAcentral